GACGAACGCUGGCGGCGUGCUUAACACAUGCAAGUCGAACGGUAAGGCCCUUCGGGGUACACGAGUGGCGAACGGGUGAGUAACACGUGGGUGAUCUGCCCUGCACUUCGGGAUAAGCCUGGGAAACUGGGUCUAAUACCGGAUAGGACCCUGGGAUGCAUGUCCUGGGGUGGAAAGCUUUUGCGGUGUGGGAUGGGCCCGCGGCCUAUCAGCUUGUUGGUGGGGUGAUGGCCUACCAAGGCGUCGACGGGUAGCCGGCCUGAGAGGGUGACCGGCCACACUGGGACUGAGAUACGGCCCAGACUCCUACGGGAGGCAGCAGUGGGGAAUAUUGCACAAUGGGCGCAAGCCUGAUGCAGCGACGCCGCGUGAGGGAUGACGGCCUUCGGGUUGUAAACCUCUUUCAGCACCGACGAAGCGCGAGUGACGGUAGGUGCAGAAGAAGGACCGGCCAACUACGUGCCAGCAGCCGCCGUAA
RNAcentral lists this ribosomal RNA (478 nucleotides) under uncultured bacterium. RNAcentral's name for it is "partial 16S ribosomal RNA". It matches the Rfam family "Bacterial small subunit ribosomal RNA", at positions 28 to 523 of the family's 1533-position model. The record is from RNAcentral.